GAAAACAAAUGAUUUGGGUUCAGAGCCAAUGUCAUUAUUCUUUUCACUGUGUUUGUUUUACAUAUCAUUUCCAAUUAUUUUCUUUUUCAGUUCUAUUAUUUAGUUCUUUUUUUUCUUUGAUUUUUUAUACCCAACUGAGUGUUUCUCAUUUGGUGAGUGCUUUUCUCGUUCCAUCAAAUUUCUCUUUUCUUUUGUUUUCUUUUUUUUCG
This 209-nucleotide long non-coding RNA is filed under the name Lathyrus oleraceus (garden pea). RNAcentral's name for it is "Pisum sativum (pea) long non-coding RNA (PSAT_LNC002476)". Lineage: Eukaryota; Viridiplantae; Streptophyta; Magnoliopsida; Fabales; Fabaceae. The record is from RNAcentral.